CUAACUAGCUCAGAGCCGCCAUGAAAGAAGCUUUGAAACUUAUCGCUAUUGUGCUAUUGACUCUUGUUAUUUUAACUUUAUCGGGUCGACCCGCUCCCGAAUCUGCGACACUAGUCGGGUCAUCUUCUCGAGUAUUUCGGAAUCGCUCCAAAAUGAAUCCAUUCGAUCAAAUAGACCCUAGUCUCCGGAAGAUUCCACGUAGCGGCGCAAAUCCUACUCAGAACAAGUAGCAACUCGUUAUAACAGGU
Arabidopsis thaliana (thale cress) is the source of this 248-nucleotide long non-coding RNA. RefSeq annotates it as other RNA. NCBI's taxonomy places the organism in Eukaryota, Viridiplantae, Streptophyta, Magnoliopsida, Brassicales, Brassicaceae. The transcript has a single exon. The record is from RefSeq.